UACGUAGGGUGCGAGCGUUGUCCGGAAUUAUUGGGCGUAAAGGGCUCGUAGGCGGUUUGUCGCGUCGGGAGUGAAAUCCUACGGCUUAACUGUGGGCUUGCUUUCGAUACGGGCAGACUAGAGGUAUGCAGGGGAGAACGGAAUUCCUGGUGUAGCGGUGAAAUGCGCAGAUAUCAGGAGGAACACCGGUGGCGAAGGCGGGUCUCUGGGCCGAUACUGACGCUGAGGCUCGAAAGCGUGGGGAGCAAACAGG
This 253-nucleotide ribosomal RNA is filed under the name uncultured bacterium. Its description in RNAcentral is "partial 16S ribosomal RNA". It matches the Rfam family "Bacterial small subunit ribosomal RNA", at positions 524 to 776 of the family's 1533-position model. The record is from RNAcentral.